This 257-nucleotide ribosomal RNA is filed under the name uncultured prokaryote. RNAcentral's name for it is "partial 16S ribosomal RNA". It matches the Rfam family "Bacterial small subunit ribosomal RNA", at positions 524 to 780 of the family's 1533-position model. The record is from RNAcentral.
UACGUAGGUGGCAAGCGUUGUCCGGAUUUAUUGGGCGUAAAGCGAGCGCAGGCGGUUCCUUAAGUCUGAUGUGAAAGCCCACGGCUCAACCGUGGAAGGUCAUUGGAAACUGGGGAACUUGAGUGCAGAAGAGGAGAGUGGAAUUCCAUGUGUAGCGGUGAGAUGCGUAGAUAUAUGGAGGAACACCAGUGGCGAAGGCGACUCUCUGGUCUGUAACUGACGCUGAGGCUCGAAAGCGUGGGGAGCAAACAGGAUUA